UACGAAGGGGGCUAGCGUUGUUCGGAAUUACUGGGCGUAAAGCGCACGUAGGCGGAUUGUUAAGUUAGGGGUGAAAUCCCGGGGCUCAACCCCGGAACUGCCUUUAAUACUGGCAAUCUCGAGUCCGAGAGAGGUGAGUGGAAUUCCGAGUGUAGAGGUGAAAUUCGUAGAUAUUCGGAGGAACACCAGUGGCGAAGGCGGCUCACUGGCUCGGUACUGACGCUGAGGUGCGAAAGCUAGGGGAGCAAACGGG
RNAcentral lists this ribosomal RNA (253 nucleotides) under uncultured bacterium. RNAcentral describes it as "partial 16S ribosomal RNA". It matches the Rfam family "Bacterial small subunit ribosomal RNA", at positions 524 to 776 of the family's 1533-position model. The record is from RNAcentral.